Long non-coding RNA from Megalopta genalis, 1144 nucleotides. RefSeq lists it as uncharacterized. NCBI's taxonomy places the organism in Eukaryota, Metazoa, Arthropoda, Insecta, Hymenoptera, Halictidae. The record is from RefSeq and is a predicted model, not a curated record.
ACGUGGUACGUCACUAACUAAAUGAGUUAUGCUAUUUAUUUUUCCAAUCCUCGUCGAAUUUACUUCGCCCGAUAUCCAAUCAACAUGAAUGUUGAUUAUCAGAAUACUGCGGAUCUUUUUGCAAGCGCCGGAAUUUUUCACAUCCGGACCUAAUGUCCGAGGAAAGGCGGAUGAACCGGUGGAACCGGGGGGCGAGGAGGGAGAACUAAACAAACGAGAGUCCUCUUCAUCAGGCAGCGAGUUCGACGGUGUUUGCCUUCAGCGAAGUUCGUGACGGGAGGAUGCGUGUCCGCGAAGGGAGAAGCAGGGAAAAGGAGGGAAAUUGAGGGAAACAGAGAGAAUAGGAGGGAAAAGGAUUCGACGAUGGGGGAAAGUGACGGCCGAAAGGUCCCGCACGUGACGUUCCUUCCGGCCUCGUUUCUGCUCCUUCUUCCGGCAUCGUCCACCUCGCCGUGUUUGUUUUCGUUAUUUUAUCACACGCCCGAGAAAUCGGGACACCUCGCAAACUUCCGGUCCCGUCGUCAAGGUAUUCCGAUCGACGUCCAGGAAUUCGAUGACUGACUGCAGCCUACUAGCGUCUACUGCACCGGUUUCCGACACCUUCGAUAUGGAUGGUGUUCGAUUUAGGUGACCAUUCUUAUCAUUUUUAAUUGCAUCGUACAACUUGACUUUUCAAGGUUUAUUUUAACGUAUGCGAAAUUUCAUUUUUAUCGCGUUUAUUUUAACCUUCAUCGCAGAUUUCAUGCAUUCCUGAAAAUGGCUAUUUUUCCAUUUUUUAAAUAUAAAUGCUGCUUAAUUCGUGUUUUAUCGAAUAAGUGACUUCAAUUUUAAUUUAUUGCAGAUAAUAUAGUAUUGAAAGUGUGACUUAAACUUCAAGUAUCGUAAGCAGACUGCAAAUUUUAUGCAAUCGUUAAAAUGGCCACUUCGUGCGACAUGACUUUUUAAUCUUUGUUUUGUUAAAUAAAUGAUUCUAAUUUUAUGAUUGUCUAUUUAUCUGAUUCAUCUAUUUAAUAAUGAAUUGCAGUCUUUAUGCACUCGUGAAAGUGGCCAGUUUCUUCAUUUUUAAUUGUAUUGUACGGCGUGACUUUUUAAUUCUUGUUUUAUCGAAUAAAUGACUUUGAUUUCUUGGGGUUUUGGGUUGGCA